Molecule: ribosomal RNA, 499 nt
Filed under: uncultured bacterium
Lineage: Bacteria
Description: partial 16S ribosomal RNA
Rfam family: Bacterial small subunit ribosomal RNA
Source: RNAcentral
AUUGAACGCUGGCGGAAUGCUUUACACAUGCAAGUCGAACGGCAGCACGGACUUCGGUCUGGUGGCGAGUGGCGAACGGGUGAGUAAUGUAUCGGAACGUGCCCAGUCGUGGGGGAUAACGUAGUGAAAAUUACGCUAAUACCGCAUACGAUCUAUGGAUGAAAGCGGGGGAUCGCAAGACCUCGCGCGCUUGGAGCGGCCGAUAUCAGAUUAGGUAGUUGGUGGGGUAAAGGCCCACCAAGCCAACGAUCUGUAGCUGGUCUGAGCGGACGACAGCCACACUGGAACUGAGACACGGUCCAGACUCCUACGGGAGGCAGCAGUGGGGAAUUUUGGACAAUGGGCGAAAGCCUGAUCCAGCCAUUCCGCGUGCAGGAUGAAGGCCCUCGGGUUGUAAACUGCUCUUGUACAGAACGAAAAGGUUUCUACUAAUACUAGGAGCUCAUGACGGUACUGUAAGAAUAAGCACCGGCUAACUACGUGCCAGCCGCCGCAGUAA